RNAcentral lists this ribosomal RNA (381 nucleotides) under uncultured bacterium. RNAcentral describes it as "bacterial SSU rRNA". It matches the Rfam family "Bacterial small subunit ribosomal RNA", at positions 419 to 793 of the family's 1533-position model. The record is from RNAcentral.
CGGGUUGUAAAGUACUUUCAGCAGUGAGGAAGGUGGGUAUGUUAAUAGCAUACUCAUUUGACGUUAGCUGCAGAAGAAGCACCGGCUAACUCCGUGCCAGCAGCCGCGGUAAUACGGAGGGUGCGAGCGUUAAUCGGAAUUACUGGGCGUAAAGCGCAUGCAGGUGGUUGUUAAGUCAGAUGUGAAAGCCCGGGGCUCAACCUCGGAAUUGCAUUUGAAACUGGCAAACUAGAGUACUGUAGAGGGGGUAGAAUUUCAGGUGUAGCGGUGAAAAUGCGUAGAGAUCUGAAGGAAUACCGGUGGCGAAGGCGGCCCCCUGGACAGAUACUGACACUCAGAUGCGAAAGCGUGGGGAGCAAACAGGAUUAGAUACCCUGGUAG